Molecule: ribosomal RNA, 253 nt
Filed under: uncultured bacterium
Lineage: Bacteria
Description: partial 16S ribosomal RNA
Rfam family: Archaeal small subunit ribosomal RNA
Source: RNAcentral
UACCAGCACCCCGAGUGGUCGGGACGAUUAUUGGGCCUAAAGCAUCCGUAGCCGGUUUUACAAGUCCUCCGUUAAAUCCAGCUGCUUAACAGAUGGGCUGCGGAGGAUACUAUAAGACUAGAAGGCAGGAGAGGCAAGCGGUACUCAGUGGGUAGGGGUAAAAUCCGUUGAUCCAUUGAAGACCACCAGUGGCGAAGGCGGCUUGCCAGAAUGCGCUCGACGGUGAGGGAUGAAAGCUGGGGGAGCAAACCGG